RNAcentral lists this ribosomal RNA (491 nucleotides) under uncultured bacterium. Its description in RNAcentral is "bacterial SSU rRNA". It matches the Rfam family "Bacterial small subunit ribosomal RNA", at positions 903 to 1397 of the family's 1533-position model. The record is from RNAcentral.
AAAUGAAUAGACGGGGACCCGCACAAGCAGCGGAGCAUGUGGUUUAAUUCGAAGCAACGCGAAAAACCUUACCAAGACUUGACAUCGUAUGAAGGAUGCAGAGAUGCAAACUCCCUUCGGGGCAUACAGACAGGUGGUGCAUGGUUGUCGUCAGCUCGUGUCGUGAGAUGUUGGGUUAAGUCCCGCAACGAGCGCAACCCUUAUCAAUAGUUGCCAAUAUUAAGUUAGGAACUCUAUUGAGACUGCCGUGGAUAACACGGAGGAAGGUGAGGAUGACGUCAAAUCAUCAUGCCCCUUACGUCUUGGGCUACACACGUGCUACAAUGGCUAUUACAAAGAGCAGCGAGGCAGCAAUGCGGAGCAAAUCUCAUAAAAAUAGUCUCAGUUCGGAUUGUGGGCUGCAACCCGCCCACAUGAAGUAGGAGUUGCUAGUAAUCCCGAAUCAGCACGUCGGGGUGAAUUCGUUCCCGGGUCUUGUACACACCGCCCGU